AGUGGGAUAACUGGGUCAAAUGGUGAUUCCAUUCCAAGUUUUCUGAGGAAUGUCCAUAGUGCUUUGCAGAGUGAUUGCACCAAUUUGCAUUCCUACCAGCAGU
This 103-nucleotide microRNA precursor is filed under the name Marmota monax (woodchuck). Lineage: Eukaryota; Metazoa; Chordata; Mammalia; Rodentia; Sciuridae. The record is from RNAcentral.